Molecule: ribosomal RNA, 398 nt
Filed under: uncultured bacterium
Lineage: Bacteria
Description: bacterial SSU rRNA
Rfam family: Bacterial small subunit ribosomal RNA
Source: RNAcentral
GGCAGACGGGUGAGUAACGCGUGGGAACGUGCCCUUUGGUUCGGAAUAACUCAGGGAAACUUGAGCUAAUACCGGAUAAGCCCUUGGCCUUUGGCCUUGGGGAAAGAUUUAUCGCUGAAGGAUCGGCCCGCGUCUGAUUAGCUGGUUGGUGAGGUAAUGGCUCACCAAGGCGACGAUCAGUAGCUGGUCUGAGAGGAUGAUCAGCCACAUUGGGACUGAGACACGGCCAAACUCCUACGGGAGGCAGCAGUGGGGAAUAUUGGACAAUGGGCGCAAGCCUGAUCCAGCCAUGCCGCGUGAGUGAUGAAGGCCUUAGGGUUGUAAAGCUCUUUCGUCCGGGACGAUAAUGACGGUACCUGAAGAAGAAGCCCCGGCUAACUUCGUGCCAGCCGCCGCGG